Long non-coding RNA from Parus major (Great Tit), 354 nucleotides. RefSeq lists it as uncharacterized. The transcript has 3 exons. NCBI's taxonomy places the organism in Eukaryota, Metazoa, Chordata, Aves, Passeriformes, Paridae. The record is from RefSeq and is a predicted model, not a curated record.
GAACGUCAAUCACCAACCCGGGCUAACUAUUGGCUGAUUUGUAACAAGGGGCGAGAGGGGGCGGGGCUUGGUCUUCCCGCCAACGAAGGUCGCCGCCACCUCCCUCCUCAGGCGCCUCUUCAGAUGGCAGGACCUGGAGCUGGUCCUGUACAUCAGCUGGGAGCUGGUGAAGGGAUUUGUCAUUCUCCAGCAGCAGGAAGGAGCACACUCCAGCAGCCAGUUCCUUAACACGGAUUCCACUUUCUCGUAAGGAGAACAGCAUAACCCAGGCACUGCUACAUCUUAACACAGGAUGGUCUCAGGAGUCAAAUCCAUGCAGACAUUAAAUAGAAGAACCCAUUUUCAAGUUAAUUU